This 276-nucleotide unclassified non-coding RNA is filed under the name fungal sp. RNAcentral's name for it is "partial internal transcribed spacer region". The stretch from base 1 to 46 matches the Rfam family "Eukaryotic small subunit ribosomal RNA", at positions 1786 to 1831 of the family's 1831-position model. Lineage: Eukaryota; Fungi. The record is from RNAcentral.
AAGUCGUAACAAGGUUUCCGUAGGUGAACCUGCGGAAGGAUCAUCAAUAAUCCAAAUAAUUAAUGACCUAAAAAAUCAUUAAUUUAACCUUCUUGUGAACUGUUUAAUGUCUUUUUGAUUGGGAGUUAAAUUUUGUAAUAUCUUUUUGAAUAGAGCAAAACUCCCAAUUGAACAUUUUUAUAACAAACUAUUUUAUUUUUUUCAAGUUGAUUAUUUUAUACAGAUUAAACUGUACUAAUAUAAAUACAACUUAUAGCGAUGGAUCUCUUGGUUCUG